This 395-nucleotide ribosomal RNA is filed under the name uncultured bacterium. RNAcentral describes it as "partial 16S ribosomal RNA". It matches the Rfam family "Bacterial small subunit ribosomal RNA", at positions 338 to 730 of the family's 1533-position model. The record is from RNAcentral.
CCUACGGGUGGCAGCAGUGAGGAAUAUUGGUCAAUGGACGCAAGUCUGAACCAGCCAUGCCGCGUGCAGGAAGACGGCUCUAUGAGUUGUAAACUUCUUUUGUACGAGGGUAAAUCCCGGUACGUGUAUCGGUUUGAAAGUAUCUUACGAAUAAGGAUCGGCUAACUCCGUGCCAGCAGCCGCGGUAAUACGGAGGAUUCAAGCGUUAUCCGGAUUUAUUGGGUUUAAAGGGUGCGUAGGCGGUUGGAUAAGUUAGAGGUGAAAUCCCGGGGCUCAACCGCGGCAGUGCCGGUGAGACUGGCAGGCUAGAGUUUAGUAGAGGUAUGCGGAAUGCAUGGUGUAGCGGUGAAAUGCAUAGAGAUCACACAGAACACCGAUUGCGAAGGCAGCUUACC